This is a long non-coding RNA of Rhinichthys klamathensis goyatoka, 843 nucleotides long. RefSeq lists it as uncharacterized. The transcript is spliced from 5 exons. The record is from RefSeq and is a predicted model, not a curated record. NCBI's taxonomy places the organism in Eukaryota, Metazoa, Chordata, Actinopteri, Cypriniformes, Leuciscidae.
UACAGUAUCGACUGUAUACAAACAGGUGCACACGCACAACCUAAUAAAAAAAACAAUGUACAGAGACUUCAAAGUGGAUGCCUUUAUGUGCGGCAGUCCAUCCGGAGCAGAUGGCCUCUCCCUUCACUGAGAUGGAGUUUUACACUAUUCUCUUCUCUCUGGUAGUGUUCAGUCUCUUUACCCUGCAUGGCCUAAUACAAGAGAGAUGUGUGCACACUACAGGCAGUGAAGACAUCAAAGAAAGAUUUGAGGAGCCACUCAUCGUCUAAAUCCACCUGCAGGCCAAUCAAGACUGAUUUCAUGCAACGUGGUCAAUCCAGGAUCAAAUAUGAUGAGUGGUGCUGUACACAUAACUUGACCAGUAUGCUGCUAUCUUUAUUGCGCUUGAAACCUCAUCACCUGGACUGGAUCCGGUUGCUAACUCAGGGUGGAAGUGUGUGUGUGUUAUGGAUCUUCUAUUUUCAGGGUUUGAGUUGGUCUUCAUCGUCAUUGCUUUUACUGUCAUGUGCUUAUUUGGCCUGGCUGCAGUCUACACACAUAAUACAGACCAUCAAGAUGACUACACUCAGACAGGACAGAGGAUAACACAACAAAAGAACAACUCAAAUAAAAAAAGAGUUGUAACCAAAGCCAAUCAAGAGAUACCAUGAACACAUUUCAUAGACAUACAGAAUCUCUCUGUUGGUGCUCAUUGGAUAAAAGGCCUGGCUCACCAAAUGCAGUUAAUCGGCUGACAAACUGUGUUUGAAGAACUCUGAGACUGAAAAUAGACUUCAGUUCACCCUCAAGACACAUGCGAUUUCUCUCAGCUGUUUCUGAUUGGCUUUAAUGUAUUACCCCAGU